RNAcentral lists this non-coding RNA (178 nucleotides) under unclassified sequences. Its description in RNAcentral is "malK-I RNA". It matches the Rfam family "malK-I RNA". The record is from RNAcentral.
UUCCGGGCGCUGCGUCUACUCCACAAACAUAGGCGCAGCUUCCGAAAAAAGGAGGAAAAAAAGCCCGGCUCGGGCUGCGGCAGUGUGGAGACCUGCCGUAAUGCGGGACAUCCCAAAGCGGAUGGCCGCGAGGGCGUACCAAGCGAAGGCUGUACGUCCGGAGCAUGAAAAAAUGGCG